GCAUUGCUGAUGAGUCUUAAACAGGACGAAACAGCUGUUCAGUGC
RNAcentral lists this non-coding RNA (45 nucleotides) under Echinostoma caproni. Lineage: Eukaryota; Metazoa; Platyhelminthes; Trematoda; Plagiorchiida; Echinostomatidae. The record is from RNAcentral.